GAAUGGCAAGAAUGAUGAAUCAAUUAGAUGUGUGAAAUUUCCAUUUUGAACUCAACUUUUUACGGCAUUAUAAUUUGUCUGACUUGCCAUUG
Corchorus capsularis is the source of this 92-nucleotide small nucleolar RNA. It matches the Rfam family "Small nucleolar RNA Z266". From Rfam's summary of the family: Z266 is a member of the C/D class of snoRNA which contain the C (UGAUGA) and D (CUGA) box motifs. Most of the members of the box C/D family function in directing site-specific 2'-O-methylation of substrate RNAs. Lineage: Eukaryota; Viridiplantae; Streptophyta; Magnoliopsida; Malvales; Malvaceae. The record is from Rfam.